GUAGGGUGCCUACCAUGCAGUCAACGGCAGCACAGGAGAGCUUGCUCUCUGGGUGGCGAGUGGCGGACGGGUGAGGAAUACAUCGGAAUCUACCUUUUCGUGGGGGAUAACGUAGGGAAACUUACGCUAAUACCGCAUACGACCUUCGGGUGAAAGUGGGGGACCUUCGGGCCUCACGCGAUUAGAUGAGCCGAUGUCGGAUUAGCUAGUUGGCGGGGUAAUGGCCCACCAAGGCGACGAUCCGUAGCUGGUCUGAGAGGAUGAUCAGCCACACUGGAACUGAGACACGGUCCAGACUCCUACGGGAGGCAGCCAGUSGGGAAUAUUGGACAAUGGGCGCAAGCCCUGAUCCAGCCAUACCGCGUGGGGUGAAGAAGGCCUUUCGGGGUUUGUAAAAGCCCCUUUUUGUUGGGGAAAAGAAAAUCCUAUCCGAAUUAAUACUUCGGGUGGGGGAAUGACGGGUAACCCCAAAGAAAUAAACACCCGGGUUAACUUUCGUGGCCA
This 504-nucleotide ribosomal RNA is filed under the name Stenotrophomonas maltophilia. RNAcentral describes it as "bacterial SSU rRNA". It matches the Rfam family "Bacterial small subunit ribosomal RNA", at positions 42 to 523 of the family's 1533-position model. Lineage: Bacteria; Pseudomonadati; Pseudomonadota; Gammaproteobacteria; Lysobacterales; Lysobacteraceae. The record is from RNAcentral.